AACGAACGCUGGCGGCAUGCCUAACACAUGCAAGUCGAACGGGAUCCUGGCUUCGGUCAGGUGAGAGUGGCGGACGGGUGAGUAACGCGUGGGAACCUGCCCAGUGGUGGGGGAUAACUGCGGGAAACUGCAGCUAAUACCGCAUGAGCCCGAGAGGGAAAGAUUUAUCGCCAUUGGAGGGGCCCGCGUUCGAUUAGGUAGUUGGUGAGGUAACGGCUCACCAAGCCGACGAUCGAUAGCUGGUCUGAGAGGAUGAUCAGCCACACUGGGACUGAGAUACGGCCCAGACUCCUACGGGAGGCAGCAGUGGGGAAUAUUGCGCAAUGGGCGAAAGCCUGACGCAGCGACGCCGCGUGGGUGAUGAAGGCCUCGGUCGUAAGACCUCGUCGCAGGGAAGGAAGUAAAGAC
RNAcentral lists this ribosomal RNA (408 nucleotides) under uncultured bacterium. Its description in RNAcentral is "bacterial SSU rRNA". It matches the Rfam family "Bacterial small subunit ribosomal RNA", at positions 29 to 457 of the family's 1533-position model. The record is from RNAcentral.